This 450-nucleotide ribosomal RNA is filed under the name uncultured bacterium. RNAcentral describes it as "partial 16S ribosomal RNA". It matches the Rfam family "Bacterial small subunit ribosomal RNA", at positions 354 to 796 of the family's 1533-position model. The record is from RNAcentral.
GUGGGGAAUUUUGGACAAUGGGCGCAAGCCUGAUCCAGCAAUGCCGCGUGCAGGAAGAAGGCCUUCGGGUCGUAAAGCUCUGUCAUCAGGGACGAAUGGCCGGUGGAGUGGAAAGCCACCGGAUUGACGGUACCUGAGAAGGAAGCCACGGCUAACUACGUGCCAGCAGCCGCGGUAAUACGUAGGUGGCAAGCGUUGUCCGGAAUUAUUGGGCGUAAAGCGCGCGCAGGUGGGAUCUUAAGUCCAUUUUGAAAGUUCGGAGCUCAACUCCGUGAUGGGAUGGAAACUGGGAUUCUUGAGUACCGGAGAGGAAAGUGGAAUUCCAAGUGUAGCGGUGAAAUGCGUAGAGAUUUGGAAGAACACCAGUGGCGAAGGCGACUUUCUGGACGAUGUCUGACGCUGAGGCGCGAAAGCUAGGGGAGCGAACGGGAUUAGAAACCCGGGUAGUCC